AGAUUGAACUGGAGAGUUUGAUCCUGGCUCAGAUUGAACGCUGGCGGCAUGCCUUACACAUGCAAGUCGGACGGCAGCACGCCUGACCACUGAAUGCAUUGGGGACUUUGAGCGGGGCCGCGGGGUCUUGGCAGUGCAUUGAGUGGUCAGGUGGUGGCGAGUGGCGAACGGGUGAGUAAUGCAUCGGAACGUACCCAGUGGUGGGGGACAACCCCGAGAAAUCGGGGCUAAUACCGCAUACG
This 242-nucleotide ribosomal RNA is filed under the name Pelomicrobium methylotrophicum. RNAcentral's name for it is "Hydrogenophilales bacterium SM250 partial 16S ribosomal RNA". It matches the Rfam family "Bacterial small subunit ribosomal RNA", at positions 1 to 177 of the family's 1533-position model. Lineage: Bacteria; Pseudomonadati; Pseudomonadota; Hydrogenophilia. The record is from RNAcentral.